This 253-nucleotide ribosomal RNA is filed under the name uncultured bacterium. Its description in RNAcentral is "partial 16S ribosomal RNA". It matches the Rfam family "Bacterial small subunit ribosomal RNA", at positions 524 to 776 of the family's 1533-position model. The record is from RNAcentral.
UACAGAGGGUGCGAGCGUUGUCCGGAAUCACUGGGCGUAAAGAGCUCGUAGGUGGUUUGUCGCGUUGUUCGUGAAAUCUCACGGCUUAACUGUGAGCGUGCGGGCGAUACGGGCAGACUGGAGUACUGCAGGGGAGACUGGAAUUCCUGGUGUAGCGGUGGAAUGCGCAGAUAUCAGGAGGAACACCGGUGGCGAAGGCGGGUCUCUGGGCAGUAACUGACGCUGAGGAGCGAAAGCGUGGGGAGCGAACAGG